Molecule: ribosomal RNA, 253 nt
Filed under: uncultured bacterium
Lineage: Bacteria
Description: partial 16S ribosomal RNA
Rfam family: Bacterial small subunit ribosomal RNA
Source: RNAcentral
UACGUAGGGGGCAAGCGUUGUCCGGAUUUAUUGGGCGUAAAGAGCGUGUAGGCGGCUUUGCAAGUCCGUUGUGAAAACUCGAGGCUCAACCUCGAGACGCCGGUGGAAACUGCAAAGCUAGAGUCCGGAAGAGGAGAGUGGAAUUCCUGGUGUAGCGGUGAAAUGCGCAGAUAUCAGGAAGAACACCCGUGGCUAAGGCGGUUCUCUAGUACGGUACUGACGCUGAGACGCGAAAGCGUGGGGAGCGAACAGG